Molecule: ribosomal RNA, 433 nt
Filed under: uncultured bacterium
Lineage: Bacteria
Description: partial 16S ribosomal RNA
Rfam family: Bacterial small subunit ribosomal RNA
Source: RNAcentral
AACGAACGCUGGCGGCAGGCUUAACACAUGCAAGUCGAGCGAGACCUUCGGGUCUAGCGGCGGACGGGUGAGUAACGCGUGGGAACGUGCCCUUCUCUACGGAAUAGCCCCGGGAAACUGGGAGUAAUACCGUAUACGCCCUUUGGGGGAAAGAUUUAUCGGAGAAGGAUCGGCCCGCGUUGGAUUAGGUAGUUGGUGGGGUAAUGGCCCACCAAGCCGACGAUCCAUAGCUGGUUUGAGAGGAUGAUCAGCCACACUGGGACUGAGACACGGCCCAGACUCCUACGGGAGGCAGCAGUGGGGAAUCUUAGACAAUGGGGGCAACCCUGAUCUAGCCAUGCCGCGUGAUUGAUGAAGGCCUUAGGGUUGUAAAGCUCUUUCAGCUGGGAAGAUAAUGACGGUACCAGCAGAAGAAGCCCCGGCUAACUCCGUG